RNAcentral lists this ribosomal RNA (418 nucleotides) under uncultured bacterium. Its description in RNAcentral is "bacterial SSU rRNA". It matches the Rfam family "Bacterial small subunit ribosomal RNA", at positions 28 to 447 of the family's 1533-position model. The record is from RNAcentral.
GACGAACGCUGGCGGCGUGCUUAACACAUGCAAGUCGAGCGGUAAGGCCCUUUCGGGGGUACACGAGCGGCGAACGGGUGAGUAACACGUGGGUGACCUGCCCUCAGCUCUGGGAUAAGCCUGGGAAACCGGGUCUAAUACUGGAUAUGACUCCACGGUGCAUGUCGUGGGGUGGAAAGCCUUGUGCGGCUGAGGAUGGGCCCGCGGCCUAUCAGCUUGUUGGUGGGGUGAUGGCCUACCAAGGCGACGACGGGUAGCCGGCCUGAGAGGGCGACCGGCCACACUGGGACUGAGACACGGCCCAGACUCCUACGGGAGGCAGCAGUGGGGAAUCUUGCGCAAUGGGCGAAAGCCUGACGCAGCAACGCCGCGUGGAGGAUGAAGGCCCUUGGGUUGUAAACUCCUGUCGGUUGGGAAG